AUUCCAGCUCCAAUAGCGUAUAUUAAAGUUGUUGCAGUUAAAAAGCUCGUAGUUGGAUUUCUGUGAGAGUGCCGGUGUCGGCUGAUGCUUGUACGCAGGCGCUCUUACAUCCCUCUGUUAACUGUUCUUGGCAUUUUAUUGCUGGUUCAGGGCUCAGAUAUUUUACCUUGAGAAAAUUAGAGUGUUUCAGGCAGGCUUAUGCCGGAAUACAUUAGCAUGGAAUAAUGGAACAGGACCUGUGCGUCUCUCGGGGCGCCGGUCUCCGUUGUUGGUUUCGGGGACUAAUGUAAUGAUUAAUAGGGAUAGUUGGGGGCAUUAGUAUUUAAUAGUCAGAGGUGAAAUUCUCGGAUUUGUUAAAGACUAACUUAUACGAAAGCAUUUGCCAAGGAUGUUUUCAUCA
Molecule: ribosomal RNA, 400 nt
Filed under: Holosticha sp.
Lineage: Eukaryota; Ciliophora; Spirotrichea; Urostylida; Holostichidae
Description: partial small subunit ribosomal RNA
Rfam family: Eukaryotic small subunit ribosomal RNA
Source: RNAcentral